Acanthosepion pharaonis is the source of this 107-nucleotide non-coding RNA. NCBI's taxonomy places the organism in Eukaryota, Metazoa, Mollusca, Cephalopoda, Sepiida, Sepiidae. The record is from the annotation of a GenBank genome assembly.
AUAUCACGUUGAAACACUGGUUCUCAGACAAUCACAGAAGUUAAGUAACAUUGAGCUUGGUCAGUACUCAGAUCGGUGACUGCUUGGUAAUACCAGGUGCUGUAAGC